Long non-coding RNA from Misgurnus anguillicaudatus (oriental weatherfish), 943 nucleotides. RefSeq lists it as uncharacterized. The record is from RefSeq and is a predicted model, not a curated record. Lineage: Eukaryota; Metazoa; Chordata; Actinopteri; Cypriniformes; Cobitidae.
AACGCGGAGCUCGCGGACAUCUCUGCUGCCGUGAUGCGAUUUACCGUGCGGAGCGGCGGCGAUGAGAGACUGAGUCACGUGACUCGGGUGCUGAAACAGACAAGGCCGCGCCGAGCGCAUGCGUGCACGGGCACAGCUAGAUUCGUGUUUUUUUAUAAAAUAAUGAAUUAUGAAAAAAAUGUACUCUUAAAACUGCAGUUAUGUCUUAAAACACAAAUAAAUGGAAUAUAUUUUAUGUAAAUAAACAGCAAGUAAAAUUCGUUUGGUAUUCUAUAUCAAAACGAAAUGAGCAGGUGAACUCGUGAAAUACUCAAAAGUCAGGUCUAAAAAUAGGGUUUCUUCAACCACUUUAUUUCGUUUGAUGAUCCCUAAUAAUUUCUAAUAAUAGAAUAUUAUAAUAAUAGAAUAAUCCCUAAUAAUUUCUAAUGAUGGUCAGGACAAUUAAUCAUAGCAAAAACUAUUUAAUUCAUUUGUUUAAAACACUUACGUUAAAGUUAUAAUGCAUUUUUGCCUUUAACAUUUAUAUUUACAGUCAAAAUAAUACUUUACCUUGAUUUUUGCUCCUAACAAAACUGCAAGUUUGCCUUUUUCCACCAGAUGGCGCCAGCGCUGUGUCGCUGCAGUCGAGUCGUGAGCUUCUCUACUAAGUUUUCUGUUAACCGCUGACAGAUGCCUUAAAAGGUAAAACACGUGGAAGGAGAGAGCAGAUACGGUGUGUGCUUUCUAAAAUAAGCUAAAGCCCUCUGAAUGAACAUAUCACAAGCACUUACAUAUGCAGUCUGGUGUUAAAUCCAUACAAGGAGAUGCUAAGGAUUAAACAAAGCAUUGGAAAAUCAAAGCUGGAACGGACUUAUCAGUUUAGUUUUUGCAGGACUGGAUGCUUAAGAUAACUAGACGAGCCAUUGCCAUGUUUAAUAAAAGAAUUUGUAUAUGCAUGCAAAAA